AUUGAACGCUGGCGGCAUGCCUUACACAUGCAAGUCGAACGGCAGCACGGGUGCUUGCACCUGGUGGCGAGUGGCGAACGGGUGAGUAAUACAUCGGAACAUGUCCUGUAGUGGGGGAUAGCCCGGCGAAAGCCGGAUUAAUACCGCAUACGAUCUACGGAUGAAAGCGGGGGACCUUCGGGCCUCGCGAUAUAGGGUUGGCCGAUGGCUGAUUAGCUAGUUGGUGGGGUAAAGGCCUACCAAGGCGACGAUCAGUAGCUGGUCUGAGAGGACGACCAGCCACACUGGGACUGAGACACGGCCCAGACUCCUACGGGAGGCAGCAGUGGGGAAUUUUGGACAAUGGGCGAAAGCCUGAUCCAGCAAUGCCGCGUGUGUGAAGAAGGCCUUCGGGUUGUAAAGCACUUUUGUCCGGAAAGAAAUCCUUGGCUCUAAUACAGUCGGGGGAUGACGGUACCGGAAGAAUAAGCACCGGCUAACUACGUG
RNAcentral lists this ribosomal RNA (486 nucleotides) under uncultured bacterium. Its description in RNAcentral is "partial 16S ribosomal RNA". It matches the Rfam family "Bacterial small subunit ribosomal RNA", at positions 30 to 507 of the family's 1533-position model. The record is from RNAcentral.